This 497-nucleotide ribosomal RNA is filed under the name uncultured bacterium. RNAcentral's name for it is "partial 16S ribosomal RNA". It matches the Rfam family "Bacterial small subunit ribosomal RNA", at positions 28 to 507 of the family's 1533-position model. The record is from RNAcentral.
GAUGAACGCUGGCGGCGUGCCUAAUACAUGCAAGUCGAGCGAACGGACGAGAAGCUUGCUUUUCUGAUGUUAGCGGCGGACGGGUGAGUAACACGUGGAUAACCUACCUAUAAGACUGGGAUAACUUCGGGAAACCGGAGCUAAUACCGGAUAAUAUUUUGAACCGCAUGGUUCAAAAGUGAAAGACGGUCUUGCUGUCACUUAUAGAUGGAUCCGCGCUGCAUUAGCUAGUUGGUAAGGUAACGGCUUACCAAGGCAACGAUGCAUAGCCGACCUGAGAGGGGGAUCGGCCACACUGGAACUGAGACACGGUCCAGACUCCUACGGGAGGCAGCAGUAGGGAAUCUUCCGCAAUGGGCGAAAGCCUGACGGAGCAACGCCGCGUGAGUGAUGAAGGUCUUCGGAUCGUAAAACCCUGUUAUUAGGGAAGAACAUAUGUGUAAGUAACUGUGCACAUCUUGACGGUACCUAAUCAGAAAGCCACGGCUAACUACGUG